GCCGAGGCAGGAGGACUGCCCAUGAGUUGUAGGCCAGCCUAGACUCCAUUUCAAGCAACCCGAACCACAAAACAAUUCUCUUAAGAAAGUGGAAAUCAAGGGACCUUUCUAGGGUCCUUAGUGACAGGGUUGUUAAGGCUACCCCACCACAGCCUUUAAGUUGAGGGGAGCCAGUGGGCUUGGGAGGGGCCAGGGACUUCUGAGACCCAUAGAAAUUCUACUUCUUCCUUGGGGCUGUCCUGAGCCAGCAGGUCAGCUGUAGACUCAGUCCCAGGAUUACAGCUGGGAAUCCCCGGCUUCCAGUGGCAGCAGAUGAGCUGACAUGGCCCAGUGCCACACCCUUGGCUAUUGGGAAGCCAGGAUUGGAGACCAGGCAUGCAACUACUUAUAAUAUGCCAUCGGGCCAGGGCAGGGUGACCAAGAAGGACGACAGGACAGGAUCAGGAGGGGACUUGUUGGAGAACAAAAGGGGGGUUAUAGCAAAGGAAGGGGAGGGCUUCCUGUCUAGCCUAGAUGAUGGUCCCAAUAGGGGGUCCUGCAGCCCCCUCCACAAACUAUGACCCAUUCAUCCUGAGCCUGGCCCUGUACCAGGCUGUUGGGGGGACUGGAGGCCCACUGACAUUCAGGCUGCUGCUACCCAGCCACCAUCUUCCUUACAUACCUGCCAGUCCCCUCCUCUCCACCCUCCCCCAUGUCUUCCUUAAUCCAUCCUUAUGGAGUAUCCUCAGAGAGGCUCCGGACACUGCCCUACGGUCUAAGGCUGUGCAUGCUUGCCUAGACGGGACUCUCCGUUGCUUUCCAUAUCCCGUUGUUCCAAGGUAGGUCCCCGCUGGCCACCAAACCGAUCCCCACUUCUCUCAUGUGUCUAGCUGCUGUUUGGGGGGUUCCCACCCCUCCCAGAGUGCUCCUGCAGGCGGGGAUGCCCCCCCUGCUCCCUCAUUGUCCAGUCAUCUCUGUGACCUCUAGCUGCACACAGUUCAACCUGGAGACCAGCACCAGGCCUGCAGCUUGGCACUGAAAGCUGCCCUCUCUUUCCCAGGUUCUGUGGAGUCUGGCUUCUCUCCUGGAGAGCUGUUGGGAGCUUUUCUGGUAAAGUAAAAAAUCCCUCAGCCUCUGGGAGAAGCCAAUGGGAUAAGAGGAGGGGGUGGGACCAGGUCCGUUGCUGAUGAGUGCUUUCUGGUGAAUGUGGGUACAGAGAGGGUCAGUCACUGAUCUAAGAUCACAUAGAAGUUUGGGGAAAAUCCAGGACUGGACCUGUCUCUCUGAGGGGUCUUUUCUUCAGCCAUUCUGGGUGAGGUCAGCUGGUGCAUGGGCCUUGUGGGCCAGAGUGGCUGUUUUGUAUUGCUCUGGGGGGAGGGACUUGGCACUGCUCUGGUAGGAGGCGGCUUGCCUAUGGUUCUUUCAUGCUCUUUCUCUCGAACCCCUGGGGAAUGCCUGAGUCAUCGCUGAGCGGCAAACAUAUUUAGCCUCUUUCAUCGUCCCUAAUAAAUCAACUUCUCCAGUUCUCUCAUACCUGCCUCCAACUCCAGGCUGCCUGCCCCCAUCUCCUGUCGCCUGACAUCUGGGCACUGCAGAGACUUCCAGCCCCCAGGUUCCUGGCAGUGGUCCCCUGGCCAUUUCCUCUCUCUCCCCAGGCAUUCUGGGCCGGGCGCGGCCUCCUCGUGCUGGGCUGGCCUGCAUUCAACAGCUGCGGUCUGGAGCCCUUCAGAGCUUCCUCCAGCUAGGCGCUGCCUGGCAUGGAUGCAGGGAUCAGCAACAUCCGCCACAGCUCAGCCCUGACCCUGACCACCACCUCAGCGCCCUCUCAGCCCACAGCGGCUUGUGUUGGGGCCCAGGGAAGUUCCCCAAACACCUUACCUCAUCCUGUCUCUCACAGGCCAGGUUGGCUGGAGGACCCCAGGCCUUUCCUGGGCUUGGAUUUCAUGGCACCUCCCUCAGGAAGCCUCCCGAUGACCUCCUUCCCUUCCUUGGUGGGCAGUCUGAGGCUCUGAAUGCUGAAGAAAUUAUUUAAGACACGGAGAGAGUCAGCCCUUGAACCCAGGCCUCUCAUGGCUGCCCCUGCACACAGUUUGACCUGGCGCCUGGCUCAAGAACCUGCCCACCAAAGGCCACCAAUAGAAGGGAGACCUGGAGUUUGAGUCUUUACAGGCAAGGAAAGAAGACCCCAAAGAAGCAGGAAGGUGACAGGAGACGUCCAGUGUCCCCGCCGCUCUCACCUGAUGGCCUCAAUCCACUGAUCGCGCUCCUCGGCAUUGGCGGCUGAGAUACGUGCUGGGAAUUGACCAGGGCCUCACACAUGUAAGGCCCACACUCUAACAUGGAUCUACAGCCCUAGCCCAGGAAACACAACUUAAGGGACAUCCAGCCCUCAGCUGCCCUAAGUAUGACACUUGCUGGCUGUGUGACCUUGAGAAGAUGCCCUAACCCUGCCGAGUCUUGGGCUGUUCAAGGACCAGCACCUCAUGUUCAAUAGUCCUGAACAGAGGGAUCCUGCUAGACUCUUCUCUCUGUCCCUCUGGGAGAGAAACAGAGCUGUCACAGAGCCUCUGUCCCCUACUGCUCCCUUAUAUCUAGCCUCCUCCUGCCACCUGCACCCCCAAGACAGAUGGAUGGGGAGAAGGGUAGGUGUUUUUAUGUAUAUGUGGAUGGAUGGAUAUAUGGGUGGG
Onychomys torridus (southern grasshopper mouse) is the source of this 2666-nucleotide long non-coding RNA. RefSeq lists it as uncharacterized. The record is from RefSeq and is a predicted model, not a curated record. NCBI's taxonomy places the organism in Eukaryota, Metazoa, Chordata, Mammalia, Rodentia, Cricetidae. The transcript is spliced from 5 exons.